This 497-nucleotide ribosomal RNA is filed under the name uncultured bacterium. Its description in RNAcentral is "partial 16S ribosomal RNA". It matches the Rfam family "Bacterial small subunit ribosomal RNA", at positions 28 to 507 of the family's 1533-position model. The record is from RNAcentral.
GAUGAACGCUGGCGGCGUGCCUAAUACAUGCAAGUCGAGCGAACAGAUAAGGAGCUUGCUCCUUUGACGUUAGCGGCGGACGGGUGAGUAACACGUGGGUAACCUACCUAUAAGACUGGGAUAACUUCGGGAAACCGGAGCUAAUACCGGAUAACAUUUGGAACCGCAUGGUUCUAAAGUGAAAGAUGGUUUUGCUAUCUCUUAUAGAUGGACCCGCGCCGUAUUAGCUAGUUGGUAAGGUAACGGCUUACCAAGGCAACGAUACGUAGCCGACCUGAGAGGGUGAUCGGCCACACUGGAACUGAGACACGGUCCAGACUCCUACGGGAGGCAGCAGUAGCGAAUCUUCCGCAAAGGGCGAAAGCCUGACGGAGCAACGCCGCGUGAGUGAUGAAGGGUUUCGGCUCGUAAAACUCUGUUAUUAGGGAAGAACAAAUGUGUAAGUAACUGUGCACGUCUUGACGGUACCUAAUCAGAAAGCCACGGCUAACUACGUG